GGAUUGUGGCUUAGCGGUAGAGCGCUCAUCUAGCAUGUGUGAGGCCCUGGGUUCCAUCCUCAGCACCA
Molecule: transfer RNA, 68 nt
Filed under: Marmota monax (woodchuck)
Lineage: Eukaryota; Metazoa; Chordata; Mammalia; Rodentia; Sciuridae
Description: tRNA.Ala
Rfam family: tRNA (bases 5-65)
About the family: Transfer RNA (tRNA) molecules are approximately 80 nucleotides in length. Their secondary structure includes four short double-helical elements and three loops (D, anti-codon, and T loops).
Source: RNAcentral